This 581-nucleotide ribosomal RNA is filed under the name uncultured bacterium. RNAcentral describes it as "bacterial SSU rRNA". It matches the Rfam family "Bacterial small subunit ribosomal RNA", at positions 338 to 912 of the family's 1533-position model. The record is from RNAcentral.
CCUACGGGAGGCAGCAGUGGGGAAUUUUGGACAAUGGGGGCAACCCUGAUCCAGCCAUUCCGCGUGAGUGAAGAAGGCCUUCGGGUUGUAAAGCUCUUUCGCAAGGGAAGAAAACUUAUGAUCGAAUAAAUCAUGAGGUUGACGGUACCUUGAUAAGAAGCACCGGCUAACUGCGUGCCAGCAGCCGCGGUAAUACGUAGGGUGCGAGCGUUAAUCGGAAUUACUGGGCGUAAAGCGUGCGCAGGCGGUUUUGUAAGUCGGAUGUGAAAUCCCCGGGCUCAACCUGGGAACUGCGUUCGAAACUGCAAGGCUAGAGUGUGUCAGAGGGGGGUUAGAAUUCCACGUGUAGCAGUGAAAUGCGUAGAGAUGUGGAGGAAUACCAAUGGCGAAGGCAGCCCCCUGGGAUAACACUGACGCUCAUGCACGAAAGCGUGGGGAGCAAACAGGAUUAGAUACCCUGGUAGUCCACGCCCUAAACGAUGUCAACUAGUUGUGGGUAGAGUAAAAUCUAUGAGUAACGUAGCUAACGCGCGAGUUGACCGCCUGGGGAGUCGGUGCAAGNUUAAACUUNAAAGGAAUUG